RNAcentral lists this ribosomal RNA (249 nucleotides) under uncultured Actinomycetales bacterium. Its description in RNAcentral is "partial 16S ribosomal RNA". It matches the Rfam family "Bacterial small subunit ribosomal RNA", at positions 84 to 334 of the family's 1533-position model. Lineage: Bacteria; Bacillati; Actinomycetota; Actinomycetes; Actinomycetales. The record is from RNAcentral.
GGGGUGCUCGAGUGGCGAACGGGUGAGUAACACGUGAGUAACCUGCCCUUGACUUUGGGAUAACUUCAGGAAACUGGGGCUAAUACCGGAUAGGAGCUCCUGCUGCAUGGUGGGGGUUGGAAAGUUUUUUCGGUGUAGGAUGAGCCCGCGGCCUAUCAGCUUGUUGGUGGGGUAAUGGCCUACCAAGGCGGCGACGGGUAGCCGGACUGAGAGGUUGGUCGGCCACAUUGGGACUGAGAUACGGCCCAG